AGUUAAAAAGUGCGUGAAACCGUUAGAGGGGAAGCGGAUGAAGUUAGCAAUGCUUCUGUGAGAUUCAGGUGGAUGGUGGACCCGACGUGUGGUUGGCGGAUCUGAAUGGACUGUCGCCACGUGGCUGGGCCCUGUAUCCACCGCACUUCUCGCAGGAGUGCGUCAACAGCUGCUUGAAGCAGGCUAGACGGCAUCUGUGGAAGGUAGGUGUUCGGCCUGUUCCGUACACUGUUAUAGCCACUAGUGUCCCAGCCUGCGUCCGGCAGAGGCGAGCGGUGCAUGCCCUGUGCAUCCGUGCCGGGGCUGGCGUCCUGUUCCGCACUCGUAGCCAACUGGGGUGCACUGCGUGCAGUUCACCUCGGGGGGCGAAAAGGCGUGCAGUAAACGCACACCCUGCACCAUGGUUGUUGGCGGCCAUAUGGCUUUUUCCGACCCGUCUUGAAACACGGACCAAGGAGUCUAACAUGUGCGCGAGUCUUGGGGUGACUGAAACCCAGAGGCACAAUGAAAGUGAAGGCUGCCAAUGCUUGUCCCUCACGGGUGCAGGCAUGGCGGCUGAGGUGAGAUCCCCGCUCCGAUGCUGGGCGGUGCGCAUCAUCGACCGACCUAUUCUACUCUUAGGAAGGUUUGAGUAAGAGCGUACAUGAUGGGACCCGAAAGAUGGUGAACUAUGCCUGAGUAGGGUGAAGCC
Molecule: ribosomal RNA, 691 nt
Filed under: Marivagia stellata
Lineage: Eukaryota; Metazoa; Cnidaria; Scyphozoa; Rhizostomeae; Cepheidae
Description: eukaryotic LSU rRNA
Rfam family: Eukaryotic large subunit ribosomal RNA
Source: RNAcentral